Molecule: ribosomal RNA, 476 nt
Filed under: uncultured bacterium
Lineage: Bacteria
Description: bacterial SSU rRNA
Rfam family: Bacterial small subunit ribosomal RNA
Source: RNAcentral
AUUGAACGCUGGCGGCAUGCUUUACACAUGCAAGUCGAACGGUAACAGGGAGCUUGCUCCGCUGACGAGUGGCGAACGGGUGAGUAAUGCGUCGGAACGUGCCGAGUAGUGGGGGAUAACGCAGCGAAAGUUGUGCUAAUACCGCAUACGUACUGAGGUAGAAAGUGGGGGACCUUCGGGCCUCACGCUAUUCGAGCGGCCGACGUCUGAUUAGCUAGUAGGUGAGGUAAGAGCUCACCAAGCCAACGAUCUGUAGCUGGUCUGAGAGGACGACCAGCCACACUGGAACUGAGACACGGUCCAGACUCCUACGGGAGGCAGCAGUGGGGAAUUUUGGACAAUGGACGAAAGUCUGAUCCAGCCAUUCCGCGUGCAGGAUGAAGGCCCUCGGGUUGUAAACUGCUUUGUACCUAGGGAGUGAUAAUGACAGUACCUGGAGAAUAAGCUCCGGCUAACUCCGUGCCAGCAGCCGCGAU